Panthera uncia (snow leopard) is the source of this 18264-nucleotide long non-coding RNA. RefSeq lists it as uncharacterized. The record is from RefSeq and is a predicted model, not a curated record. The transcript has 2 exons. NCBI's taxonomy places the organism in Eukaryota, Metazoa, Chordata, Mammalia, Carnivora, Felidae.
GGACAGAGAGAGACAGAGCAUGAACGGGGGAGGGGCAGAGAGAGAGGGAGACACAGAAUCGGAAACAGGCUCCAGGCUCCGAGCCAUCAGCCCAGAGCCUGACGCGGGGCUCGAACUCACAGACCGCGAGAUCGUGACCUGGCUGAAGUCGGACGCUUAACCGACUGCGCCACCCAGGCGCCCCUAUAGUCUUUGUUUUAAAAUUUAGUUUGUCUAAUAUAAGUAUGGCUACUCUGGCUUUCUUUUGACAUCCAUUACCAUGAUAGAUAGAGUCCCCUCACUUUCCAUUUGCAGGUAUCUUUAGGUCUAAAAUGAGUCUUUUAUUGGCAUGAUAUAGAGGGGUCUUUUUUUUUUUUUAAUCCAUUCUGAUGCCCUAUGUCUUUUUUUUAAAUUUAUUUAUUUUGACAGAAAGAGGGAGAGACAGACAGACAGACACUAGGGAAGGGGCAGAGGGAGAGAGAGGGAGAGAGAGGGAGAAUUCCAAGCAGACUCUGUGCUGUUAGUGUGGAGCCUGAUGUGGGGCUUGAACUCACAUGCUAUGAAAUCAUGAUCUGAGCUGAAAUCAAGAGUCUGAUGCUCAACUGACUGAGCCACCCAUUUGCCCCUGAUACUGUAUGUCUUUUGAUUAGAGCAUUUAGUCCAUUUACAUUCAGAGUGAUUAUUGAACGAUAUGAAUUUAGUGCCAUUGUGUUACCUGUAAAGUUGGUGUUUCUGAUGAUGUUCCCUGUUCCUUUCUAGUCUUUGUGGGAAAGAAAUUUUAAUAUUUUUUGCAGGGCUGAACUUCUCUAGUUUUUGUUUGUCUGGGAGAUUCUUUAUCUCUCCUUCUAUUCUGAAUGAUAGCCUUGCUGGAUAAAGUAUUCUUGGCUGCAUACUUUUUGCAUUCAGCACAUUGAAUAUAUCAUGCCAUCUCCUUCUGGGCCUGCCAAGUUCUUGUGGAGAGAUCUGAAAACCUGAUUUCUCUUCCCUUGUAGAUUAAGGGCAUUUUUCCCCUUGCUUGUUUCAGGAUUCUUUCCUUGUCUGUGUAUUUUGUAAAUUUUACUAUGAUAUGUGUUGGUGUUGGCUGGCUUUUGUUGAUUUUGUUGGGAGUUAUGCCUCUUGGAUUUUGAUAUUUGUUUCCUUCCCUAGAUUAGGGAAGUUUUCAGCUAUAAUUUGUUCAAGUAAAUCUUCUGCCCCCUUUGCUCUCUUUUGUUCUUCUGGGACUCCUAUGAUAUGAAUGUUUUUAUGCUUUAUGGAAUUGCUGAGUUCCCUAAGCCUACAUUUGUGUUGUAAAGCUUUUCUUUCCCUUUUCACUUCAGCUUCAUUAUUUUCCCUCAUUUUAUCGUCUAUAUCACUGAUUUAUUCCUCGACAUUGUCCAUCCUUGUUGUCAUUAUAUCCAGUUGGUUUUGCAUCUUGGUUAUAGCAUUUUUAAAAAAAAUUUCAGCCUGACUAGUUUUUCAUUCUUUUAUCUCUGCAGUAAGGGAUCCUCUAGUGUCUUCUAUGGUUUUUCAAGCCCAGCUAGUAUCCUUAUGAUUGCUGCUUUAAAUUCCGGUUCAGGCAUAUUACUUUUAUCUGUUUUGAUUAAAUCCCUUGCCAUGACCUUUUCUUAUUCUUUCUUUUGGGGUAAAUUACUCUGUUUUGUCAUUUUGUCUAGGUCACUGUUUAUGUGUGUGUGUGUGUGUGUGUGUGUGUGUGUGUGUGUGUUUGUGUGUGUGUGUGUGUGUGUGUUAGGAAAGGCUGUUAUCCUUUCUCUUCCUGAGAAUAUGGCUAUAUUAAGAAGAGGUCCUAUACUGUCCAGGGCCUGGAGCUUCAGAAAGUGUUUCAGAGUGUGCAGCCUGCUGUUGUGUUUUGGCUGCUCUUUCCUUUAGGUGAGUCCUCUGCAGAGUUUCUCCUGGCCUGCAGUGGGGAGUGUUUAUAUCUUGUCUAGUGUGUGGUGAGUUUUAACUAGGUGUAUUUUGGCCUGUUUGUUAAAAGAGUCUAGAUCUGGGGUGCCUGGGUGUCUUAGUCGGUUGAGCGUCUGACUUUGGCUCAGGUCAUGAUCUCACGGCUCGUGAGUUUGAGCCUCAUGUCAGGCUCUGUGCUGACACUUCAGCUCUUGGAGCCUGCUUUGGAUUCUGUGUCUCCUUCUCUUUCUGCCCCUCUUCCACUCAUGUUCUGUCUCUCUCUCCUUCAAAAAUAAAUAAACAUUAAAAAAAUAAAAAACAAAGAGGCUAGAUCCUAUUCCCCCUAGAGUUAAAGCUUUGCACCACUCUAUGAUCAGUAGACUUGGUGCCUGUGAGGCGUUUGUGUUGGUCUUCUGAGGGAGGGCCUGCUGUGCUGAUUCUCAGGCUGAGUUUCCCUACUAAAGAUGCACCUGCAGAGUGUAGAGGGGUAGGGCUUGGUGUAAGCAGCUCAAACCUCCACUAGGGGUGCUAUGCUGCUCACUGAGGUCUAUGAGUGCUGAUGGGCAGGGGUUGCGAGCAGAAAUGGUCUACUCUCUUGUCUCCUAAGCAGGGAGUUCACACUGGCUACUGUUUAGGAAACCCUCACAGAAGAGUGAACGAUCUCCCCUCUUGUGUCCCCAGCUUCUGUCAGAUCCCUGCCAUCACUCGGUCUGUGUCCGAGCUGUAUGCCUCCGAGGCAGCGUAGUACUCCUGUGUUUUAUCCCAGAUGUGUGGCUGUGUUUCAAAACUCCAAAUUUUAGGGACCUGGCAUGGCGAGGACCCACACUGAUCCUCUGGGGGAAGGUCUCCCCACGCUGUGGCUGGUGCCAGUUAGUCCCAGAAAAACCAUCACACAGUCCCCGGGGAGUUUAUGGUAAAGUGAGGCAAAAGGUCAGCACCAAGGUUUUCUGCCCUCAGCAGGUGUCUCUAUUCCUAUGCUAAUGAACGGGGCAGCACGUUGACACUCACCAGCUCUUUUGUUCCCAGAGAGGCCAUGCCACCUCUCCCAAAUGCACUCCAAGAAGGGGGAACUGCUCUCCUAGUGCGACCCAGAGGAUCCUCAAACCACUCUGUCUGCUCCUGGGCCCCUGUCCUCCUUUUCCACGGGAUCACUGGUGUGGCCACCAGGCUCCACAUGGUGGUGGUGCAUACUUCUAAAACUUCAGGCUUUGGGCUCCACUGCCUGUAAAACUUUGUGGUAAUCAGUUGCUCUCAUUUUCCCAGUCAAUGGUUUUGGGAGAAGUGUUUCUCUUGUGCAGUCCCCUGCGUGCUGCUUUCUCUCUGUUCUCUCUCUCUGUCUCCCUUUUGUCUCCAAGAUCAAAAGUCCCUCCCCUCUGCAGCAUCCAUGAAUCUUUUCUUCCAGAAUUAUGUCUCCACAGCUCCUAUCUUCUACAAUGUGGCUUCUUUUCUCCCUCUAGUUCUGCAGUUUGUUCUUUCAGCAUUCAGAUUGAUUUCUUGGGGGCUGGGAAUGAUUUGAUAUUUAUCUAGCUGUGUUUGAGGGAUGAUGCAAGGUUAGGGUCCUCCCACUGUUCCACCAUUUUAACUCUGGAUUUUGAUCAUUUUAAUUAGUGUGUGGUGGCAUCUCAUUAUUGUACUGUUUUAAUACCAGUGAUCUUGAGCAUCUUUUCAUAUCCCAUCAUUGCAUCAGGAAUGGAAAACAUCAGUGCAGACAGAAUGAAUUCCUCUGACCUGAAUAUGUCAAUUUUUCUUUUACUAGGAUAUGCUCAUCUGCAGUGUUCCAUCUGUAUAUUUACUUCAGUGAAGUGUCUGUUCAGAUCUUUUGUGUGUUUUUCAGUUGGAUUUUUUUUUCUUACUGUGAGUUUUAAAAGUUAUUUGUAGGGGCGGCUGGAUGGCUCAGUCAUAUGAGUGUUUGACUCUUGAUUGUGGCUCAGGUCAUGAUCUCACAGUUUGUGGGAUCGAGCCCCGUGUGAGGUUGUGGGCUGACAGCAUGGAGCCUGGUUGGGAUUCUCUCUCUCCCUCUCUCUCUCCUCUUCCCCCACUUGCACUCUCUCAAAAUAAAUAAUCUAAAAAAAUUUUUUUUAAAAAGUUCUUUAUACAUGUUUGGUUCAAUUCUUUAUCAGAUAUGUGUUUUGCAAAUAUUUUCUCCCAGCCUGUGGCUUGUCUUCUCACUCUUUUAACAUUGUCUUUCCUAGAGCAGACAUUUUCAAAUUUUAAUGAGUCUGACUUAUUAAUUUUUAUUUUAUGGAUGGUGCUUUUGGUAUUAUACCCAAAGAGUCAUUGCCAAAUCAAAGGUCACAUACAUUCCAUUCUAUAUUUUCUUCUAGAAGUUUUGUAGUUUUGCAUUUUACCUUUAGGUCUAGGGUCUAUUCUGAGUUAAUUUUUGUGAAGAAUUUAAAUUUAAAUAAUCAUUUGUUACAUAUAUCCAUUUUGUACCACAGUGUGACUAAUUUGGGUUAAUCUGUGAUCUUUUUGUCCAUUACUCAGAUCACUCAAGACUUUAUUGCAUGCCUGUGUUUUGUUGUUACCAGUGUUCACUCUCAAGUGGUUGCCUUUUCCUUCUCGACUGACUUCAAACUAUGUUCUUUCUCAUUAUCUUAGCUGGGGUGGAUGUUCUUUCAGCAUGGUUGCACUUCUUAUAUUAAGAUCAAUUCCCUUAGUCAAUAUCUCAUUUGUUGGAAUCCUAUAGUGAUAACUCCAGAAUUGGAGAAUUGUUGUGAAGGGUUUAUAUGCUUUGAGCUUGACAUACCCAGGUAAAAUAAAAAUGACCACACUCAGGUCAGAGGUAAGUUAUUCUGUCUGCAUUGAAAUUUUUCUCUCCUGAUACAGUGUUCUGUCCAGCUCCCUUCUUAACCUGGGAAUCUGCAUCCACCUGGCCCCUGUCUGUUGGCCGACUCCCAUCACAGAUUCUUGGAAGUCCUGUGUCCAAUGAGGAAAAUGCAGAAAACUGUUGGUGAAGAACUUGACAAUCUGAUGAUUGAUUACUUUGUGGACCUUGAAUGGAAACACUGCACCCCUAUUAUAUCAGGGGGAGGAAGUGAAGUGAGGAAAAACCUCUUGUCUAGAUACAAUAUUGCUUUUUGUACAACACAGUAUGAAAUACAUGUAUUUUUGAAACUUUAAAAAAAUGUUUAUUUAUUUUUGAGAGAGAGAGAGAGAGAGAGAGCGAGCAAGCAAGCACGAGCCAGGGAGGGGCAUAGAGAGACGGGGACAGAGGAUCCAUGCUGACAGCAGCAAGCCUGAUGUGGGGCUUGAACUCAUGAAGCAGGAGAUUGUGACCUGAGCUGAAGUCGGAUGCUUAACAAACUGGGCCAUCCAGGCGCCCUGAAAUAUUUGCAUUUCUAUGUUACUUGUCUUGUUUCAAGCUUGUAUUUUUUUCUUUCCUUUGCAUUCUCUCAAAGCAGGUUGAUGGCCCAUGGGAGAAAUUAUUUCCUUGGGCAAACAGAUAGAAGACACUUGUACAAAAGGCAAAGAACACAUCUUUCAGAUGCCCUCCCUUGUUCUGUUGAAUGGCUUCAAAGAAGAGUUUACUGGGAGACCUGGGUGGCUCAGUCGGUUCAAAGUCUGACUUCAGUCCAAGUCAUGAUCUCACGGUUCAUGGGUUCGGGCCCCACGUUGGGCUCUGUGCUGACGGCUCAGAACCUGGAGCCUGGAUUCUGUGUCUACCUCUUUCUGCCCCUCGCCUGCUCAUGCUCUGUCUCUCUCAAAAGUAAAUAAAAGUAAAAAAAGAGAAGAGUUUACUGUUUUUAUUUUCUUUAUUAGGAAUUAAAAUAGGAGACUUUUGAUGAGGUCUUGUUUUAAAGAAGCUAUUUUCUUUGAGAAAAAAAGUGCUUCCCCUUUUGAUGCUUGAGAUUGAUGUGAUGAAAUUUAGGAAAAACUUAUAUGACAGUUGUUUGUGUUUCUUCUGGGUGAUUUGUUUAGAGUUAUGUGUACAUCUAAGAUGCUUUAAAGUCUUUAUAACAGAUUUCUCACUUUCAUAUGGGAGAUAUAACAGCAGAAUUAUGGAAUCUUGUAGCCUCUGGUUGCUAGAAUUGUCCACCUUUGUAGAAGCGUUAGAAAAUGCUGAGAGUGAUUUCAUGGGGGUUAUUUUGUUGUUGUUGUUGUUUACUUAUUUAUCUUUGAGAGAAAGAGGAUGGGGCAGGGGGUGGGGAGACAGAAUCCCAAGGAGGCUCUGUGAUACCAGUGCAGAACCCGACAUGGGGUUCAAAACCGUGAGCCGUGAGAUCAUGACCUGAGCCCAAAUUGAGUUGGAUUGCUUAACCGACUGAGCCACCCAGGUGCCCUGAUUUCAUGGAGUUUUAAAGUAGGGUGCCCAGGAAUGCUGGGUAAGGUCAGAGCGAACCCAAAGAGAGUGCCUACUGUGUGCCAGGCACACAGUACAGCUGUGUGCUGUACAACUGUCCACCCAUUUAAUUCUCAACCCUAGGGGGUAGGAACCGUCAUUUCCCCCUGUUUCACUCAGCAUCAGUAGAAGAAUUUGGACAAAUGGACCAAUAAACUUGAUUUUCUAGCUAAAUGCUUGAUCCACUGCAUUGUCCUUGGGGCCAUGAAGCUGUUCCCCACUUCCAGAAGGUGACCACUUUGUUGAGGCUUCUCUAGGGUCAGAAGUGGCUGCUGAUUGCCACUCCCAAAGAGGUGCAUUCUAAGAACAGAAGAAAAUCAUUGCCAAGGAGAAUGGUUAUUGGGCCUGGUUUUAGCAAUUUGCAAAGUCCAAUAAAAAAUAAAUCCCAAAGCAGUCAUAUGUUUCAAAUCUGAAUGUUAACAGCUGUGCUCUUAUUUCUUUGCUGACUAUAACUACAAUGCUAAGCCUUUUCUCUGUGUUUAGAAAAAGCUCUGCCUUCACCUUAAUGUUCUGGCCAUACCAGCCAACUGUCCUUUCCAAAUUUACCCCCAAUUCCUUAUUUCCUUCUUUAGAUAUUUAUUUCUUUUUAAGGAGAGAUCUCUACAGGGCUAAGGUUUUAAAACAGCAAAUUGUGCUAAAUUCUUAAUCCUCCUCUAACAUCUGUUUAUGUUUUUGGAAUAUAUAUAUAUAUAUAUAUAUAUAUAUAUAUAUAUAUGUAAUGUUUUUAAGAAGUCUUUUUACCCCUGUCCAAAAAGGAACUCUAAGAACCAAUUUUUUCUUUAUUUCCUUCCUUUUUCUUCCUGCCUUCCUGCCUACCUGCCUUCUUUUUCUCUUUUGGGUUUUUUUUUUAGAUUACUUUAAGGGGAAAUAAUCCCUUAAUGUGUAUCCAAGAACACUGAAAGAUGUUUGGACAUUUUCUAUUCCUUUCUGGCCUCUGAGUUCUGAGUCACUGAGUUUGUGUUUUUAAGUCAGCACCUAUGGGCAAAGUUCUCUUUCAAAACUAAACUAGUCCCCAUGAUUUAAAAUGCCAACCAACCAAUGAACCAAAAAAUCCACUCCCUAAAAAAAAAGGAUCAAACCAACCAAAACCCCCUCAAAUUUAACCAAAAACCUCUCCAAAAAAAUCAGGUCCUCAUUUUGGAUCAAAGCCAGGCAACAUUUUCCCCAAAUUCCUCCUGCUCUAUAGAGAGAGUACAUCUCUGAACAUGCCAAAUGGAAAUUCAGAUAUGAGCAACUCUUUUAAAAUUCUUAUCUUUUAAAUAUUCAUAAUUUUCCAGCUCUUUACUAUCAUAAAUUCUUUUCAUUAGAAAGCUCACCUUGGAAAGGGCGGAAGGGAGGAGUGAGUUCGGAAGGCACUGUUUUCCCGGCUCCCUGCUUGCUCAGAAAGUGUCUGGUAAUGGGAUGGCAGGACACCCGGCUGUGGGUGCUGGAGGGUUCUUAACUCCAAUCUGUGAGGACUGAGAUGUGUCCCUCCAAGUCUAUCAUCACCCAGGUUAGACAGGCCCCACUGAAGCCUCUCUGGUGGGUGGGAAUUCUUGGAGGCAGUGAUGCCUGAAUUUUCUAAGGAUGAGCCUAGGAUAGCUAUUAAGCUAGAAGGGCAUAGGGCUGGGGACCUAACUUAAAGCUGCAUUUGCAUGGUGCUUUAUACAAUAUUGAGACGAUCUUUCCUUUAUUCAUCAGAGAAUGUAGAGAGGGCUACUGGCCAGGACUGUGGGGUGGGGUGAGGGAAGGAAGACCACUACUUUCAGCCCCUUCAUGGAGACCCCACCGAUGAGGAGCCUCUUGGGAUAGAGCUGUGACCAUGCUGGAGAUUGGGCAUAUUGACAGACUGCCAAUGGGAGAGGCUGGUGCACGUAUGUUUGCCUGAGUCUGCAGAAGGGGCAGGCAAGGCUGGAAACUUGGCAUCACGGGAGGGGAGAAGCACUUCCGGGUUUCAUCAUGCAUGCUGUGAUUUGUCUCCUUGGUUAAAUCUCUGGGUCCUGGAAGCUGUUUUACUAACAGUCCCUUAAGGAACGGAGAACCAUGGAAUCUCUCCAGUAAUCUCGCCCACACGAACUCCAGUGGGUGGUGAAGCAUCCUGCUUCAUUUUGCCUGGGAACGAUUGGGGCACCGUGACAGCACAAAGGCAGCUGAGGUGGGGCUUUGCAGCAAAUAAAGGGACAUGGGCAUCACUUCCCAUACUGGUGUGAUUCUGUGCUUUGUUGCUUGUUUUUUAAGUGCUACUGUGGCAGUCAGUGGCAUGAGUGGUGGACACCCAGGGGUACUCCCUUCCACUGAAUUUCUUUUUUUUUUUUUAAGUUUAUUUAUUUAUUUUGAGAGAGACAGAGACAGCAUGAGUGGGGGAGGGGCAGAGAGAGAGGGAGAGAGAGAAUCCCAAGCAAGUUCUGUGCUGCCAGCACAGAGCCUGACCUGGGACUCGAGCCCACUAAACCGUGAGAUCAGGACCUGAGCUGAAACUCAAAGUCAGAUGCUUAACCGACUGAGCCACCCAGGUGCCCCCUCCACUGUUUCAGUAGCAUCUGUCCCAGUAGAUUCUCAGGGAGCCUCACAGGUACCCUAGAGGUUGUCUUCUCGGCCUUGAGCCUCCUACACCCUGGUGGGGUGUUUUCUGCUGGCCAGUCCCAGCCCAUGUUACCCUGCCUUCCAACCUUUGGCCAGCCACUGUGGAUCAGUUCUGGCUCAGGUCCUCCUGGAGAAUUUCCCCACUACUCAGUGGGCUUCAAUCACACCUUUUCAAUGAGAUCUGAAUGCCAGCCUUAGAAAGGGGGGUGGGUGGUGAUCUCUUUUUCAAGUGUGUUCUUUCGUUGAGCAUUCUCCUUCAUCUCUUGGAUAGCCUCUAGAGUUCUUUUUAUCCCUUGACAGUCAGCUCCCUGUUAUGGUUAUAUAAUUCUUUAUAUUAAAGUCUCCCUGUUAAAAUUAUUGUGUGAUUUCUGUCUCCUAACUAGACCUAUUGAUACAAGAUGAUAGUAGGGAUAAUUGAUAGAAAUACUGAGUUUGUUCCCUUAUACAUUUUACUUCCUUCUUAUUUGAAGCCUCUGUCCUGGUCCCGACAGGUGCCAGCCCUCAGAAGCUGUGAGUUAGUUGCAUCAGCGGGACUGGGUCCCAAGUAGCUGACCCCCAGGUUCACUGAAGAUUUCCAUACUUGACGAAAUGACUGGAGAGAAUGGAUGAGAAUUGAUGCUAUAACACUAGCUUUGCAUGUGGGUGAGGGGAACCCAGAGAAAAACAGCUUGAAUUUCUUGUCCAUGGGGAUGGGACCUCAGAAUCAGAAUGAAGUUGAAAGAAAAUAAACGUGAGACUCCCAGUGAAUCUGCUUUAUGAUAGUUACAGUUUUUAUGUCAAAUCACUGACAAAUACAUAAAUAUAAAAGCUGGCAUGGAUUUGGCAAUGCUUCUACAAACUUGUAUUUUAUUAUUUAUAAAGCAUUUAAAAACACUUGAAAAAGUGGUACAUGGUAUCAAUUUAUUUACUUAAAAUUUUUUUUAAAACGUUUAUUAUUGAGAGACAGAGAGACACAGAGCAUGAGCAGGGGAGGGGCUGAGAGAUGGGGAGACACAGAAUCGAAAGCAGGCUCCAGACUCUGAGUUGUCAGCACAGAGCCCAAUGUGGGGCUUGAACUCACAAACAGCGAGAUCAUGACCUGAGCCAAAGUCGGACGCUUAGCCUAUUGAGCCACCCAGGUGCCCCUCAAUUUAUUUACUUUUAUUACUAGGUCUAUAGAUGUGAGGAUUUCCUGCCUGAAGGUGGUAACUCCACAGCCCCUCUGGGAUCAGAAGCUCACAGGUCUGGAGCUGGUGUUAUAAGAAUGGAAACAAUGCUGAAAGCCAAGUGCUCAUUAAUAUACAAUAUGGAGAUCGUAUCAUCUUUUAAACAGUCUUAGCAAAAGACGCAAAAAUCUGGCUUUCAUGUGCAGUGUCUCUGUGUCCACUGUGUAUUUUUCUUUGUCCAUGCUUUGAAAGGAUAAGCAAUCAUUGCUUGUUUGUUUGCACUUCCUGGGAGAAGAUGCUACUCUGGAUGAAAUGCAUUGGCCCCACCUAGGCAGGUGGAGGAUCCCAUGAAAGGAGCAGUUGGCCGCCUGCCACUGGCUGGGUGAUGCACAGAGAACAACCCUGGAGCGUGCCCUGGAGCGUGCCCUGGAGCGUCUACACCCUCAUCCUCAUCCUUAUUUCCCCAGUUUUUCUUCUGGAACAAGUGGAAGCCUCUGAUGCACUUAUCUCCUUCUCUACCUUCCCUAUUUUAAAAUUAGGAUGCUAAUAUUUGUGAAGUCAUGAACUAAUGUUUAACCUUUUCUGGCAUCCAAUAUACAUGCUUAUUUGGCUCCAUGGCCCUGGUCUAGCACCCCUACAUUAAUCCAGAGAAUCGAAAUACCAACAGGAAAAAGGAAAUGAAGAAAGCAAAUGCAACAUUAGCUACAGAAGCAUUUCACUUAACAAAAUCAGGAAAGAGACCAUAUCUCCCUAAGUUUCAUGUGAUAAUAUAAAGUGAUAAUACUUUGGUUGCUUUAAUUUCAUUUCCUCUGCUCUGUUUUCCCUUUGACCAUUAACAACACUCAGCUGUGUCCCUUUGUGACCCAAUGGCUGUGUGCCUGAGAGCCUGGGGCUGAUGAGAAGUGGACCCUCUUUCUCUCUACCAAUUUUUAAGUUGUUUUCUUCAUCCAUCGCCAGCCCCUGAGACUCAGCCCUUAACCUUGUGAGUUUAGUGUUUGGCUAAACUGGAGAAGAGAAUUAAUGAUGGUAUUGGAAAGACUUUCUUGACAAAAUUCACUUUCUGGAUAUGGGAAAUAAGGGCUCAGGGCUUCAUAAAUAUGACUUAUGGGGCAAUUAGACAUAUUGGCAGCCUUUCUGGGUCCAACAUGGAUGUCUGGAAAUUAUAUGUCAACUCCCAACCUCAUGCUAGAUUCUGUAGUUUUCUGGCUUUGCCAUGGGGGUGGGGGUACAUGGUGAUUAAAUAAAUGAUCCCAGAAUGAAAGACAAAAAGAGAGAAAACAAAUGAUUUCAUAAAAUGGGAGAAAAAAGGAAAAAUGGAAUUUUUACAUUUUGAUAUUUUUUCUCCCUUGGACUUUCACCAAAAUCUUAGUUUCCUUAGUGCCAAGGUUUUUUUUUUAAUUUUUUUUUUUUAACAUUUAUUCAUUAUUGAGAGACAGAGAGAGACAGAGCACAAGCAUGGGAGGGGCAGAGAGAGGAGGAGACACAGAAUCCAAAGCAGGCUCCAGGCUCUGAGCUGUCAGCACAGAGCCUGACGUGGGGCUCGAACCCACGAGCAGUGAGAUCAUGACCUGAGCCAAAGUCGGACACCCAACUGAUUGAGCCACCCAGGUGCCCCUCCUUAGUGACAAAGUUUGACAACUCCAUGUAAUGACUUAAGAAAGUCAUGCUACCUGACUGUUCUCUAGUUCAACACAGACGUCCACCCCACAGUCCCAGUUGUGGAUGCUGUGACGCUCAUGUCUACUCCCAGAAGGAAAAACUGAUUGUCAAGGGUGAAAUGAAUCGGAUUCAAGGAUGCAAUCUUUACUUGUUUGUCUAUAAUGAUAAUAAAAGCACGAACAACCUCAAACAUAAGUUGAAAUUGGUGACUGGCGGAGGAUAGGGGAAAGGGCUUUCCUUUGCCCAUGACCUUUCCUUCCCACCGCGGUCAUCCUGGCAGUGUUCACCCCCUGGGUCUCAGUUUCUCCUGAGCUCCUAUGUGCUCCUGUGCCCCUCUCAACCCACCUCAUGUGCAUGGUCUUGCUUCGUGCUGGCGUAUGGGGAGUGUCUGGUGAAGUUGAUCUGAAAAUACUUAAUAAUGAUUAACCAGCGUUGGGUCAGAUUGCAGAUGUUCAAAAGAAACCUGUAUGUUUGGUAAAAAGGAAAGCAGAAUGAGAAAUACUGAUUUUGUUUCCAAAGAAAAACCACAUAGAAUUUUCUGGGUUGUGGAAGAGUUUUAGGAACUGGCUCCAAACACGAGUUCCUGCUCAUGGUCCUGAGCAAGCUCCCAACUUAGCCAACACCUGUGCAGUAACCUCCUGGGCUUCUGUUUCACCACCCGUGAGAAGCGGUUGUGAAGCUUGGGGCUCACGAUGAACAAAGGGGGAGGCCAAGUGUGGGCCUGCCCAGCUCCCAGGCCCCUCCUUCCUGCUUUGUUUCUCUUCUGGCUUCCACACAGGGACUCAGGGCUUUUGGCAAGUGUGCAAUCAGGACAUUCUAAAACAGUUCUCCUUUUAAAGAUUUGGUGUAAAUGUUCCCCGAAGCAUGUUUGAUCAUGAAUUCUAGUUUUAGUCUUGGGAAACAUGGAUGUAGGCUUACAUGGAUAGUGGGGACCCAUUGUUCCUGAGAUAUCCCAUUCCCUGAGGACCUGAGCUCAGCUUGUUGCCAAACCCCCUUACCUACGGUGCUAGUGGUCCAAAUGGCUUAUUGGGUGAGCUUGCAUGAGGGUUCACAUUUAUAGCAGGUAAGCCAAUUUCUCAACUCAGGGGUAACCAAGGGUUUCUGUGUGUGUGUGUGUGUUUUUUAAUCUUUAUUUAUUUUUGAGAGAGAGAGAGAGAGAGAGUGAGUGCAAGCGGAACACAGAGAGAGGGAGACACAGAAUCCAAAGCAGGCUCCAGGCUCUGAGCUGCCAGCGCAGAGCCCGAUGCAGGACACGAACUCACGUUCGUGAGAUCAUGAUCUGAGCCGAAGUCGGACAGUUAACCGACUGAGCCACCCAGGCGCCCCGGUUUCUGUGUUUUUAACUGUGGGUCACAAACAUGCUCAGAAAUCCAAAGGUAUGUGAAUGUUGUUAACAUUUUCUUCAUUAGAAUGAUGAUUUGAUGACAUAUCGGAUAGAGGGUUAGUAUCCAAAAUCUAUAAAGAACUUAUCAAACUCAACACCCAAAAAACAAAUAAUCCAACUAAGAAAUGGGCAGAAGGCAUGAAUAGACAUUUUUCCAAAGAAGACAUCCAGAUGGCCAACAGACACAUGAAAAGAUGCUCAACAUCACUCAUCAUCAGGGAAAUACAAAUCAAAACCAUGAUAAGAUGUUACCUCACACAUUCCAGAAUGGCUAAAAUGAACAAAUCAGGAAGCAACAGAUGUUGGUGAGGAUGCAGAGAAAGGGGAACUUUUUGUACUGCUGGCGGGAAUGCAAACUGAUGCAACCACUCUGGAAAACAGUAUGGAGGUUCCUCCAAAAAUUAAAAAUAGAACUACCCUAUGACCCAGCAAUUGCACUGCUAGGUAUUUAUCCAAGGGAUACAAAAAUGCUGAUUCGAAGGGGCACAUGCACCGCAAUAGCAGCACUAUUAACAAUAGCCAAAUUAUGGAAAGAGCCCAAAUGCUUAUUGACUGAUGAGUGCAUAAAGAAGAUGUGGUGUAUAUAUACAAUGGACUAUUAGCCGCACAAAGAAUGAAAUCUUGCCAUUUGCAACAAUGUGGAUGGAACUAGAGUGUAUUUUGCUAAGUGAAAUAAGUCAGUCAGAGAAAGACAAAUAUUAUGAUUUCACUCAAAUGUGGAAUUUAAGAAAAUCAGAGGCACAUAGGGGAAGGGAAGGAAAAAUAAGACAAAAACAGACAGGGAGGCAAAGCAUAAGUUAUAGACUCUUAAAUACAGAGAAAAAAUUGAGGGUUUCUGGAGGGGAAGUGGGUGAGGGGAUGGACUUAAAUGGGUGAUGGGCAUUAAGGAGGAUAGUUGUUGGGAUGAGCACUGAAUGUUGUAUGUAAGUGACGAAUCACUAAAUUCUACUCCCGAAACUAAUAUUAUACUAUAUGUUAACUAAUAUGAAUUUAAAUUAAAAAAAAUAAUGAUGAUCUGAGGGGGUCUGAGCAUUAGAUGUGACUUGAACAUGAGUCAAAUGUGUGGAGUCUGGUCACAUCCUUUUUCUGAUGUCAGUAAUCCUUCCUAAUCUUCAUGAUUGAGGUUUAGUGAUGAAAACAUGAAAGGCUCAAAAUUAUAGCAGUAAGUGAAGAUUCAAUGCCAGCUUGCCAACGUGAGCCUUGUAGUGGUCACCCAAUAGAAGUGGCCCAUGUGUCUAUCUGGAUUCCUGAUACUAAGUUCAGGAAGCAAAUAGCUCUGGAGAGUGAGGGAUAGUUAUAGUAGAUCAUGUGUGCUACUUAUUAAAACAAAGGUUGCCCAAAUGUCCUUAAGCUGUGGUUUUCAAACUUUUUAUCCAUCAGAGUUUUCUUCAAGUGAAAUACUGCUCUAAGUAAGUGAAUAUUAAGAUGGAUGAAUUGAAAACUGGGUUGGCAACUGGGCCUUCACUCUUGGUUUUUCCUCCUUGGCUCCGUGCAUGAGCACUUCUGUGGAACCGUCUGCCUCUUAAGAAAUGGUUGGGAGGCCUUUCGCUGAAAGGAGUGACUCUUUGGGAUGCCUGGGUGGCUCAAUCAGUUAAGCAUCCGACUUCAGCUCAGAUCAUGAUCUCACGGUUUGUGAGAGCUGCACUGACAGCUCAGAGCCUGGAACCUGCUUCGGAUUCUGUGUCUCCCUCUCUCUCUGCCUCUCCCCCCGCUCAUGCUCUGUCUCUGUCUCUGAAAGAUAAAUAAAUGUUAAAAAAAAAAAUUAAAAAAAAAAACCAAAAAGAAAGGAGUGACUCUUUGGAAUCUACCUGGUCCAUGUGAAUUAGACCCGUCCUGGACUAAUCAAGUAUCCCUGAAGCCUAGUGUUGACCCUUGGAACCCUCUUGCCAUCAAAGAAAUACGACAUUUGGCCAUAAAAUAAUACUGUGCCGAUUCUGACUCACAGAAGACUCACUCAACCCAGGUGAGCAUUCAGAGCAAAUCAUCUUCUAAGCCAACAUGUGGAGAAAAACAAAGUUUUACCCUAACUGGCUUUUCUGUUUCAAAUGGAGAAUGAAACUUGGAAGACGGUGGGAAGGCAGGCUGGCAUCUCUGAGAUGCAGUGUUCAGGACAAAUGAAAUGUCAGAAUCUCAUGUCCUGAUUUACUCACUGGUGUAUGAGCUCGAGGGGUGGAUAAUACAUAUCUUCCUCUUUUCCUUAAAGGUCUGGGUUGGGCCAGAUAACACUUGGAGGCUGACUUCAGAAAGCUCUGUUUGGAAGGCUCGUGCACAUCACAUGAUGAAAGAUGUGAGGAUGGUCACCAGGCCACUUGUUCACUGUGCCAGGCUGGGUCUCCAUAGCUUCAAAUUCAUUCCAACGUAAUUGAAAACAUGUGCUAAAGUGUGCAUUUUCUUAAGGUUCAAAAUUUCCCUGUGGUGUACUUUCCAUACCAUUUUGAUUUAAAAGCAGAGAAUGACAAUACUGUGGCCAAAAACGUGUGUCAGUAUAUAAGUGUUUUAAAACAAAUCUUUUAAGAGUAAAAAACCCUGAAGAAUAAACAGAAGACUGAAUCAUAGUUCUUAGAAUUAAGGCAGGUGAGGAGCCUCAAGGAAAAGGCUUUAAAGUUGUAUUUCUCAAUGCAGUGUCAUUACAGGUCAUAAUUUAGUACAAAUGUUUAAUACUCUUGCUGUCUUGAAAAUGAUUCUUCCAUCUGGACGUUAUGUCUGUGACUUCCACAGAGAGGGGAGAAAACGUGUCUGCCCAUAUUUAUCCUGCACAAGUUUCCAUCUGUGGCAAUAUCAAAUGCCUAUGUGGACCAAGCAGUAAAUUAUGUGAGCGAAGCCAACAGGUGGAGGCUGUGGCCACCUGGACACAAGGGCUCAUUUGAAGGGAGCUGCCAUUGAGAAAGGCCAAUGCAGUGUUGUCACAGCUUCUGGUUUUUCAGGAGAGCCUGAGAAUCGAUAUGUUGAAUGUAAAAAAAACUCCUGAUUUUUAAAGUUAUAGAAAUUAAAGAUGUAACUAUACCACAGGUGGUCCAAUCAAUAUCUCUGAAGGCCAGACCAGUGCCAGGGCAAUAAGUAUCUGGUAUGCAGAGUGUGGUGCGGGUCUGAAAAGUUAGCAGGAAGCAGAGUCUUACAGAAAGGUGGGACAAGUACUCCUGUUGGAGUAGAGUGGGGCGGGAGAAUAGGGUUAGUCCCAUCUCUCUUUACCCUAAUUGAAGUGGGGACGGGGAGGGCGGGACCCCACUUCGAGGUGGAGUCAAAGACUAUAGUGUGCAGGGCAAGGCUUGGUUUUGCCGCCUGUGUGUGGCUUUCCUGCGCGUCUCCUUGACCACCCGCACGGCACACUUCACUUCUGACACUUUGGGUUAUCAAGUGUGUGGAGGCUCUUCCCCACACCAAGCGAUCCUCUGUGACACCAGCGGGGUGACCUACAGUUUAACUCAAUUCUGACACCAUCAGCCCGGAGAAAGCGUCAGAUUCUACAGGUAAGGGCCCAGCCCCACAAGUUGCGCCCCCCCCCCCCGCCCCUUCAGGUGCCAAAUGCAAGCAGUAGGUCCCCAGGUUAUCCCAAACUUCUGUCUAGAUUGGUUACAGAUUGGUAGUUCAGGUUCACUUGGUUUACUAGAGCAGCUCACACAACUCAGGGAAACACUUAUUUCCGUUUACCAGUUUAUCAAAGGAUGUGAUGAAGGAACACAGAUAAGCAGCCAGAUGAAGACGUACAUAGGGCAAGGUCUGGGAGGGUCCUCAGUGCAGAAGCUUCUAUCCCCGCAGAGUUGGGGGGCGUCACCCUCCUAGUGUGGAUAUGUUCACCAACCUAGAAGCCUCCUGAACACCGCACUAUUGGGAUUUUAGGGAGGCUUCCUCAAGUAGGCAUAAUCAAUUAUGAACUACGUUUUUAGCCUUUCUUUCCCCUCAGGAGAGUGAAAGGUGGGCUGGAAUUUCCAAUGGCUUGGUCUUUCUGGUGACCAGCCCCCAUCCAGGAGCCCACUAGAGUCACCUCAUUAGAACAAAAGAUGCUCUUUGUGCUCUUAUCCCUUAGGAGUUUACAAGAGUUGGGGCACCUGGCUGGCUCAGUCGGUUAAGCAUCUGACUCUUGAUCUUGGCUCCGGUCAUGAACUCACAGUUUGUGAAUUCAAGCCCCGCAUUGGUCUCUUCGCAGAUAGUGCACAGCCUUCUUGGGAUUCAGUCUUUCGCUCUCUCUGCUCCUCCCCUGUUCUCUCUCACUCUCUCAAAAUAAAUAAACUUAAAAAAAAAUGAGAGACAUGAUAUCAUCACAGAUCCUACAGAUAUUAAGGGAUAAUAAACAACUAUUCUGAACAAAUUUUAUUUUAAUAAAUUUGGCAACUUAAAUGAAAUGGACACAUUCCUUGAAAGAUAUAAACUACUAAAACUCACUCAAAAAGAGAUAGACCUAAAAGUCCUAUUAAAACUAAACAUUGAUUUUAUAGUUUUAAAUCUUCCCACAAAGAAAACUUCCAACCCAAAUGCUUUCACUGAUGAAUCAUACCAGACAUUUAAGGAAAAACUUGUAUCAAUUUUACCCAAACUCUUGUGGACAAUUGAAGAAAAGGGGAUACUUUGUAAGCCAUUUUAUGAAGCUAACAUUAUCUCUUUUUUUUUUAAAUUUUUUUUAACGUUUAUUUAUUUUUGAGACAGAGAGAGACAGAGCAUGAACGGGGGAGGGUCAGAGAGAGGGAGACACAGAAUCCAAAACAGGCUCCAGGCUCUGUGCUGUCAGCACGAGCCCAACGCGGGGCUCGAACUCACGGACCACGAGAUCAUGACCUGAGCCGAAGUCGGACGCUUAACCGACUGAGCCACCCAGGCGCCCCACUAACAUUAUCUCUUUUUUAAAAAAUGUUUUACUUAUUUUUGAGGGAGAGCACGGUUGGGCAAGGGCAGAGAGAGAGGAGGAUAGAGGAUUGGAAGCCGGCUCCUCGCUGACAGCAGUGAGCCUGAUGCGGGGCUCAAACACAUGGACCACGAGAUCAUGACCUUAGCCAAAGUUGGAAGCUCAACUGACUGACCCACCCAGGUGCCCCAAACAUUACGGGUAAAUGAUAAAAAAAAAAAGUGGACAAAGACAUUAUAAGGAAAGAAAUCUACAGGCUAACAUCAUGGGGAUAGUUGUAAAAAUUCUUAAACUUAGAGCAAAUUGUAUACAACAAUAUAUAAACAAUAAUAUAUCAUGGCCAGGAAUAUACUAUAUUUAUCCCAGGAAUGCAAAGUUGGUUUAAAACUUGCAAAUUAACAUAUGUAAUUCACCAUGUUAACAAACUAACACACACACACACACACACACACACACACACACACACACAAACGCAUAC